AUUACUUCUCCGCCUUUCGGCUUAAGAUCAAGGAUAGUAUCUGUUCUUAUCAGUUUAAUAUCUGAUAUGUCGCCUAUCCUAGGACAAUUUAUUUUUUUUUGGUGAGGAAGAUUGGCCCUGAGCUAACAUCUGUGCCAGUCUUCCUUUUAUUUUGUAUGGAGGACACCAC
Equus asinus (donkey) is the source of this 169-nucleotide small nuclear RNA. Its record names the gene U2. It matches the Rfam family "U2 spliceosomal RNA". From Rfam's summary of the family: U2 is a small nuclear RNA (snRNA) component of the spliceosome (involved in pre-mRNA splicing). Complementary binding between U2 snRNA (in an area lying towards the 5' end but 3' to hairpin I) and the branchpoint sequence (BPS) of the intron results the bulging out of an unpaired adenosine, on the BPS, which initiates a nucleophilic attack at the intronic 5' splice site, thus starting the first of two transesterification reactions that mediate splicing. The record is from Ensembl. Lineage: Eukaryota; Metazoa; Chordata; Mammalia; Perissodactyla; Equidae.